UAACGGCCGCGGUAUUUUGACCGUGCGAAGGUAGCGUAAUCACUUGUCUUUUAAAUAGAGACCUGUAUGAAUGGCAUCACGAGGGUUAUGCUGUCUCCUCUCUCCCGUCAAUGAAAUUGAUCUACCCGUGCAGAAGCGGGUAUCACAACAUAAGACGAGAAGACCCUAUGGAGCUUUAGACACCAAAGCAGACCGUGUUAAGAGCCCCCCGUCAAGGCGAAAAAACAAGACUGACCCUGCUUAUUUGUCUUUGGUUGGGGCGACCGCGGAGAACAAUAAAACCCCCGCGUGGAAUGGGACCUCCCUUGAAGCCAGGCCUACAGGCCUAAUCUCCAGAAAAUCUGACCAUAAAGAUCCGGCUUUGCCGAUCAACGGACCCAGUUACCCUAGGGAUAACAGCGCAAUCCCCUUUUAGAGCCCACAUCGACAAGGGGGUUUACGACCUCGAUGUUGGAUCAGGACCUCCUAAUGGUGCAGCCGCUAUUAAGGGUUCGUUUGUUCAACGAUUAAAGUCCUACGUGAUCUGAGUUCAGACCGGAGAAAUCCAGGUCAGUUUCUAUCUCUGAAGUGUU
Molecule: ribosomal RNA, 572 nt
Filed under: Ponticola syrman (syrman goby)
Lineage: Eukaryota; Metazoa; Chordata; Actinopteri; Gobiiformes; Gobiidae
Description: partial large subunit ribosomal RNA
Rfam family: Bacterial large subunit ribosomal RNA
Source: RNAcentral